RNAcentral lists this ribosomal RNA (464 nucleotides) under uncultured bacterium. Its description in RNAcentral is "partial 16S ribosomal RNA". It matches the Rfam family "Bacterial small subunit ribosomal RNA", at positions 29 to 507 of the family's 1533-position model. The record is from RNAcentral.
AUGAACGCUGGCGGCGUGCCUAACACAUGCAAGUCGAGCGGAGAAUUGUUGCUUGCAACAAUUCUUAGCGGCGGACGGGUGAGUAACACGUGGGUAACCUGCCCUAAACAAAGGGAUAACAAUGAGAAAUCAUUGCUAAUACCGUAUAAGCUUACACUAUCGCAUGAUAGAGUAAGAAAAGAUUUAUCGGUUUAGGAGGGGCCCGCGUCUGAUUAGCUAGUUGGAGAGGUAACGGCUCACCAAGGCGACGAUCAGUAGCCGACCUGAGAGGGUGAUCGGCCACAUUGGGACUGAGACACGGCCCAACCUCCUACGGGAGGCAGCAGUGGGGAAUAUUGCACAAUGGAGGAAACUCUGAUGCAGCAACGCCGCGUGAAGGAAGAAGGUUUUCGGAUCGUAAACUUCUAUCUACAGGGAAGAAAAAAAUGACGGUACCUGAGUAAGAAGCCCCGGCUAACUACGUG